This 371-nucleotide ribosomal RNA is filed under the name uncultured bacterium. RNAcentral's name for it is "bacterial SSU rRNA". It matches the Rfam family "Bacterial small subunit ribosomal RNA", at positions 527 to 896 of the family's 1533-position model. The record is from RNAcentral.
GGGGGGUGCGAGCGUUGUCCGGAAUCACUGGGCGUAAAGGGCGCGUAGGUGGUCUGAUAAGGGUGUGGUGAAAGCCCGGGGCUCAACCCCGGGUCGGCCGUGCCGACUGUCAGACUAGAGUACUGUAGGGGCAGGCGGAAUUCCGGGUGUAGCGGUGGAAUGCGUAGAGAUCCGGAGGAAGACCGGUGGCGAAGGCGGCCUGCUGGGCAGUUACUGACACUGAGGCGCGACAGCGUGGGGAGCAAACAGGAUUAGAUACCCUGGUAGUCCACGCCGUAAACGAUGGGUACUAGGUGCCUGGGGGAGCGACCCCCUGGGUGCCGGCGCUAACGCAGGAAGUACCCCGCCUGGGGAGUACGGCCGCAAGGCUG